AUGGCAGAGGCUGACGGUGAUGACUCGCUCAACCCCAUGUCGAUCCUCAUAGACGAGCUCCAGAACGAGGAUAUUCAGCUUCGCGUCAACAGCAUCAAUAAGCUGUCCACCAUCGCGUUGGCCCUUGGAGUCGAAAAGACCCGCAGUGAGCUUCUGCCCCUCAUUAUAGACAUCUUGUACGAUGAGGACGAGGUCCUGUUGGCCCUGGCGGAGCAGCUGGGCACCUUCACCCCUCUGGUCGGAGGUCCCGAGUAUGUUCACUGCCUGCUGCCACCCCUAGAGUUGCUGGCCGUGGUGGAGGAGGCCAUAGUGCGGGAGAAGGCGGUGGAGUCCCUGAGGGCCAUCUCGCAUGAGCACUCACCCUCCCAUCUCGAGGACCACUUUGUGCCACUCGUGAAGCGGCUGGUGGACGGCGACUUAGUCAACUCUCGCAUCUCAGCCUGUAGCCUUUUCUCCGUCUGCUACCCUGGCGUGUCCAUUGCCAUCAAGGCGGAACUUCUACAGUGCUUCCGGGAUCUGUGCUCAGAUGACAACCUCUUGGUGCGAUGUGCAGCAGCCUCCAACCUGGGGGAUUUCGCCAAGGUGCUUGAGCUGGAUGACAUCAAGAGCGAGAUCAUCCCCAUAUUCUCCAACCUGGCCUCUGAUGAGCAGGAUUCGGUGCGGCUGCUAAUGGUGGAAGUGUGCGUGAACAUCGCCCAGCUCCUGCCCCAGGAGGCCCUGGAAGCCCUGGUGAUGAUCACCCUGUGCCAGGCUGCCGAGGACACAUCCUGGCGCGUCCGUUACAUGGUGGCCGACAAGUUCACAGAGCUCCAGACAGCAGUGGGGCCUGAGAUCACCAAGACGGGCCUGGUCCCUGCCUUCCAGAACCUGAUGAAAGACUGUGAGGCCGAGGUGAGGGCCGCUGCCUCCCACAACCUCAAAGAAUUCUGUGAAAAUCUCUCCACUGACUAUCGGGAGAAUGUGAUCCUGACCGAGAUCUUGCCCUGCAGCAAGGAGCUGGUCUCAGACAUCAACCAGCAUGUCAGGUCAGCCGUGGCCUCCGUCAUCAUGGGCCUCUGCCCCAUCCUGGGCAAAGAUAACACCAUCGAGCACCUCAUGCCCCUUUUCCUAGCUCUGCUGAGGGAUGAGUGCCCGGAUGUGCGGCUGAACAUCAUCUCCAACCUCAGCUGCAUGAAAGAGGUGAUCGGCAUCCUGCAGCUGUCCAAAUUCCUGCUCCCCACCAUCAUGGAGCUUGCGGAGGAUGCCAAGUGGCGGGUGCGUCUGGCCAUCGUUGAGUACAUGCCUCUGUUGGCUGGACAGUUUGGGCUGGAGUUCUUUGAUGCGCAGCUCCACUCCUUGUGCAUGUCCUGGCUUGUGGAUCAUGUCUAUGCCAUCCGCGAGGCGGCCACCAACAACCUGAAGAAGCUGGUGGAGCUGUUUGGGAAGGAGUGGGCCCUUGCCACUACCAUCCCCAGGGUCCUGACCCUGUCUGAGGAACCCAACUACCUGCACCGCAUGACUACGCUCUUCUGCAUCAAUGUGCUGUCUGAGGUCUGUGGGCAGGAGAUCACCACCAAGCACAUGCUGCCCACAGUGCUGUAUAUGGCUGAGGACCCCGUCGCCAAUGUUCGCUUCAACGUGGCCAAGUCCCUACAGAAGAUUGGGUCUAUCCUGGACAACAGCACACUGAAGACUGAGGUCAAGCCCAUCCUGGAGAAGCUGACCCAGGACCGGGGACGUGGACGUCAAGUACUUUGCCCAGGAGGCUCUGACUGUCCUGUCUCUCGCCUGAUGCUGGAAGAGGAGCCAACGCCAGCCUCUGGUAUCCACUCUCCCCCUCCCUCCCCCCAAGUCCCUCCUUUGGGGAGACAGUGCCCUUGGCUGUCACUCCCUGUGCAUGUUCUGACCCCAGGCCCCUCCCCCAGCACGGUUGCUGGCCCCAGCCUGGGAAUCCAACUUCUCACCAUCCACUCCCUCGGGGUUGGGGGUGCCCAAGGUGGGACAGAGCAGAGAUCCUAGGAGGAAGGGUUGUUCAUGCUGCGCUGUGUGGUGAUGCUGGCAUCCCAGGUUGCAGGCUCCUGUUGCUAUGAGGACCCCUCCCCUAUCGAUUUCACCACCUCCCUUCCUUCCCCCUCAGUUGGUUGUUUGUGUCAGUUGUGCCAUUUUUAUUUUAUUCCUUUUACCUCCUUUGCCAGAGAAAUAAAGAUCUAGAAAAUUUUUUAAAAAUGAAAAUAGAUUCAUGGGAAAAUACAUGUUUCCGCCAAAA
This is an RNA transcript of Capra hircus (goat), 2245 nucleotides long. It is a transcript of the gene named serine/threonine-protein phosphatase 2A 65 kDa regulatory subunit A alpha isoform pseudogene, with no coding region annotated. Lineage: Eukaryota; Metazoa; Chordata; Mammalia; Artiodactyla; Bovidae. The transcript has a single exon. The record is from RefSeq and is a predicted model, not a curated record.